UAAAACAUGUUUUUUUGUUUAUUUAUUUAAGAUUGGCCCUGCUCAAUGAUAUUUAAAUAGCCGCGGUAAUUUAACUGUGCAAAGGUAGCAUAAUAAUUAGUCUUUUAAUUGAGGUYUGGAAUGAAUGGGUUGACGAGGAAAUAACUUUAUUAAUUUAAUUUUGUUAAAAUUAAUCUUUAAGUUAAAAAGCUUAAAUUUUUGAUUGGGACGAUAAGACCCUAUAGAUCUUUAUUUUUUUUUUUAUAAAAUUAAUUUAGUAUAUAAUUAUUUUUUUGAAAAGUAAAAAUUUUGUUGGGGUGACAUAUAAAAUUUUAAACUUUAUUUUUUCUUUUACUUUUAUUUUUGGUUUAUUUGAUCCUUAAUUUUGGAAUUUAGAUUAAGAUACCUUAGGGAUAACAGCGUUAUAUAUUUGGAGAGUUCAAAUUGAUAAAUAUGUUUGCGACCUCGAUGUUGGAUUAAAUUUAAUUGUGGGGUAGGUUUUACAAUGUUAGGUCUGUUCGACCUUUAAAAUUUUACAUGAUCUGAUUCAAAACCGGA
RNAcentral lists this ribosomal RNA (537 nucleotides) under Betatropis formosana. RNAcentral describes it as "partial 16S ribosomal RNA". The stretch from base 392 to 537 matches the Rfam family "Bacterial large subunit ribosomal RNA", at positions 2473 to 2620 of the family's 2925-position model. The record is from RNAcentral. Lineage: Eukaryota; Metazoa; Arthropoda; Insecta; Hemiptera; Achilidae.